Non-coding RNA from Papilio xuthus (Asian swallowtail), 60 nucleotides. Lineage: Eukaryota; Metazoa; Arthropoda; Insecta; Lepidoptera; Papilionidae. The record is from Rfam.
AUAGCCUAAUGGUUAAGGGUACGGAUUUCCGAUCACGAGGUCGGGGGUUCGAAUCCCUCU